This 469-nucleotide ribosomal RNA is filed under the name uncultured bacterium. Its description in RNAcentral is "partial 16S ribosomal RNA". It matches the Rfam family "Bacterial small subunit ribosomal RNA", at positions 28 to 508 of the family's 1533-position model. The record is from RNAcentral.
GACGAACGCUGGCGGCGUGCUUAACACAUGCAAGUCGAACGGAAAGGCCCUGCUUUUGUGGGGUGCUCGAGUGGCGAACGGGUGAGUAACACGUGAGUAACCUGCCCUUGACUUUGGGAUAACUUCAGGAAACUGGGGCUAAUACCGGAUAGGAGCUCCUGCUGCAUGGUGGGGGUUGGAAAGUUUCGGCGGUUGGGGAUGGACUCGCGGCUUAUCAGCUUGUUGGUGGGGUAGUGGCUUACCAAGGCUUUGACGGGUAGCCGGCCUGAGAGGGUGACCGGCCACAUUGGGACUGAGAUACGGCCCAGACGCCUACGGGAGGCAGCAGGGGGGAAUAUUGCACAAUGGGCGGAAGCCUGAUGCAGCAACGCCGCGUGCGGGAUGACGGCCUUCGGGUUGUAAACCGCUUUCGCCUGUGACGAAGCGUGAGUGACGGUAAUGGGUAAAGAAGCACCGGCUAACUACGUGC